AGGUCAAUGAUGAGACCUUUACUGUCUUGAAGAGAGAUGAUGACUUAGAAAUCAUGCUCAGUAGGAUAAUGCUGAAGCCC
This is a small nucleolar RNA of Lepus europaeus (European hare), 80 nucleotides long. RefSeq annotates it as small nucleolar RNA SNORD115. The transcript has a single exon. The record is from RefSeq and is a predicted model, not a curated record. NCBI's taxonomy places the organism in Eukaryota, Metazoa, Chordata, Mammalia, Lagomorpha, Leporidae.